GACGAACGCUGGCGGCGUGCUUAACACAUGCAAGUCGAACGUUGAAGCUGGAGCUUGCUCCGGUGGAUUAGUGGCGAACGGGCGAGUAACACGUGAGUAAUCUGCCCUUGACUCUGGGAUAACUGCGGGAAACUGUAGCUAAUACCGGAUACGACACCUUCGGGCAUCCGAUGGGUGUGGAAAGAAUUUCGGUCAAGGAUGAAGUCGCGGCCUAUCAGCUAGUUGGUGAGGUAAUGGCUCACCAAGGCGAAGACGGGUAGCCGGCCUGAGAGGGUGACCGGCCACACUGGGACUGAGACACGGCCCAGACUCCUACGGGAGGCAGCAGUGGGGAAUAUUGCACAAUGGGCGAAAGCCUGAUGCAGCAACGCCGCGUGAGGGAUGAAGGCCUUCGGGUUGUAAACCUCUUUUAGUUGGGAAGAAGCGAAAGUGACGGUACCAACAGAAAAAGCACCGGCUAACUACGUGCCAGCAGCCGCCGUAA
Molecule: ribosomal RNA, 484 nt
Filed under: uncultured bacterium
Lineage: Bacteria
Description: partial 16S ribosomal RNA
Rfam family: Bacterial small subunit ribosomal RNA
Source: RNAcentral